GCCAGUGGCUAUUGUUGACAGGCAAGUAAGGAAGUUACGAUCAAAAGAUAUUGUGUCCGUGAAAGUCUUAUGGAGAAAUCAUACAGUUGAAGAAGCUACUUGGGAAUCGGAAAAUGAUAUGCGAGUCAAGUAUCCCCACUUGUUUCAGUCUACAGGUAUGCCCUUGUUUUAAAUUCGGGGACCAAAUUUCUUAAAGUGAAGAUUAUGUAAUAUCCCAUAAUUAAUAAUGGGUAUUUUGGUGAUUAGAAAAGAAAAACAAAAAAAUAUAGAAAACAAGCAUAUUCCUUACAAAGAUCAAAAAGAGGAUAAAUAAAUAAAUAAAAUAAAGGAAAAUGGGCCAAAGCCCAAAAGAAAAGGACGGGGAUGGGAACUUAAUAGGGAUUAGGGAAGGGAGUAUUUUAUAUUAUCAGUGGCCGCCAACAACAACAACAGUGAAAGGAACAAAACAAAGGAAAGCACCUUUUCACUGAAAGAAAAUUACGGAAGAAGAAGAACAAAGACCGCAGGUGAUAUUGGUGAGGAUUACGGUAACUAGAGAGCACGAGUUGAAAGUUUCUGAUUUUGGGCGAAACGGGAAUUGAAUUUGGAAAGGCGUAAAGAGCGUAUAAGGUACUGAAGACAGAUUUGCUGACCCGCCUGCCUAGGACAUCUAUUCUGCUAUUCUGGAGCGCUCUUUUGUCCAGAGCCUAUAUUUUGGCACAGUCUGUUGCUAUUGUAUAUAUGUACAUUAUUCAGGGGUACGACGGGGCCCUGUCCCGUCUUAUGAUUUUGUCAUGUUCUGUAGAGGUCUGUAGACAUACUUGUGUGGGUUCUGUAUAUGUUUUGGGUUGAUAUGAUCUGUGAUAGCCUUAUCGGCUUGCUUGUGCUAUAACUGUUUAUCUGUGACAACUAGUAGCGCCAAUUGACCCUCAUAUUGAUAUAUUCUGUUAAUAUGCUGGUUUGGGUUAUUGGGUACGUAUGGGUGUCCAGCACGGACACUAGUCGCGGCCUACGGGGUUGGGUCGUGACAUUA
Lycium barbarum (goji berry) is the source of this 1012-nucleotide long non-coding RNA. RefSeq lists it as uncharacterized. The record is from RefSeq and is a predicted model, not a curated record. The transcript has 4 exons. NCBI's taxonomy places the organism in Eukaryota, Viridiplantae, Streptophyta, Magnoliopsida, Solanales, Solanaceae.